This 301-nucleotide ribosomal RNA is filed under the name uncultured bacterium. Its description in RNAcentral is "partial 16S ribosomal RNA". It matches the Rfam family "Bacterial small subunit ribosomal RNA", at positions 509 to 807 of the family's 1533-position model. The record is from RNAcentral.
CAGCAGCCGCGGUAAUACGUAGGGUGCAAGCGUUAUCCGGAAUUAUUGGGCGUAAAGAGCUCGUAGGCGGUUUGUCGCGUCUGUCGUGAAAGUCCGGGGCUCAACUCCGGAUCUGCGGUGGGUACGGGCAGACUAGAGUGAUGUAGGGGAGACUGGAAUUCCUGGUGUAGCGGUGGAAUGCGCAGAUAUCAGGAGGAACACCGAUGGCGAAGGCAGGUCUCUGGGCAUUAACUGACGCUGAGGAGCGAAAGCAUGGGGAGCGAACAGGAUUAGAUACCCCGGUAGUCCCUGUCUCUUAUAC